GCCCACGUAGCUCAGUGGUAGAGCACUUCCUUGGUAAGGAAGAGGUCUCGAGUUCAAUCCUCGACGUGGGCUCCA
RNAcentral lists this transfer RNA (75 nucleotides) under bacterium. RNAcentral describes it as "tRNA-Thr". It matches the Rfam family "tRNA". From Rfam's summary of the family: Transfer RNA (tRNA) molecules are approximately 80 nucleotides in length. Their secondary structure includes four short double-helical elements and three loops (D, anti-codon, and T loops). Further hydrogen bonds mediate the characteristic L-shaped molecular structure. tRNAs have two regions of fundamental functional importance: the anti-codon, which is responsible for specific mRNA codon recognition, and the 3' end, to which the tRNAs corresponding amino acid is attached (by aminoacyl-tRNA synthetases). tRNAs cope with the degeneracy of the genetic code in two manners: having more than one tRNA (with a specific anti-codon) for a particular amino acid; and 'wobble' base-pairing, i.e. permitting non-standard base-pairing at the 3rd anti-codon position. The record is from RNAcentral.